Molecule: ribosomal RNA, 497 nt
Filed under: uncultured bacterium
Lineage: Bacteria
Description: partial 16S ribosomal RNA
Rfam family: Bacterial small subunit ribosomal RNA
Source: RNAcentral
GAUGAACGCUGGCGGCGUGCCUAAUACAUGCAAGUCGAGCGAACGGACGAGAAGCUUGCUUCUCUGAUGUUAGCGGCGGACGGGAGAGUAACACGUGGAUAACCUACCUAUAAGACUGGGAUAACUUCGGGAAACCGGAGCUAAUACCGGAUAAUAUUUUGAACCGCAUGGUUCAAAAGUGAAAGACGGUCGUGCUGGCACUUAUAGAUGGAUCCGCGCUGCAUUAGCUAGUUGGUACGGUAACGGCUUACCAAGGCAACGAUGCAUAGCCGACCUGAGAGGGUGAUCGGCCACACUGGAACUGAGACACGGUCCAGACUCCUACGGGAGGCAGCAGUAGGGACUCUUCCGCAAUGGGCGAAAGCCUGACGGAGCAACGCCGCGUGAGUGAUGAAGGUCUUCGGAUCGUAAAGCUCUGUUAUUAGGGAAGAACAUAUGUGUAAGUAACUGUGCACAUCUUGACGGUACCUAAUCAGAAAGCCACGGCUAACUACGUG